GCCUCGCCUGUUUACCAAAAACAUCGCCUCUUGCUAAACCAAAAGUAUAAGAGGUCCCGCCUGCCCUGUGACUAUAUGUUUAACGGCCGCGGUAUUUUGACCGUGCGAAGGUAGCGCAAUCACUUGUCUUUUAAAUGGGGACCUGUAUGAAUGGCAUAACGAGGGCUUAACUGUCUCCUUUUUCAAGUCAGUGAAAUUGAUCUCCCCGUGCAGAAGCGGGGAUAGACACAUAAGACGAGAAGACCCUGUGGAGCUUCAGACACUAAAGCAGAUCAGUAUUAAUACCCUGAACAUAAGGCACGAAUAAGAUGAUUCCUGCCCUAAUGUCUUCGGUUGGGGCGACCGCGGAGAAAUAUAUAACCCCCGCAAGGACUGAAUGUACUACAUUCACAACCAAGAGUGACAACUCUAAUUAACAGAACUUCUGACCAAUAAGAUCCGGCAAUGCCGAUUAAUGAACCAAGUUACCCCAGGGAUAACAGCGCAAUCUCCUCUUAGAGUCCAUAUCGACGAGGAGGUUUACGACCUCGAUGUUGGAUCAGGACAUCCUAAUGGUGCAACCGCUAUUAAGGGUUCGUUUGUUCAACGAUUAAAGUCCUACGUGAUCUGAGUUCAGACCGG
RNAcentral lists this ribosomal RNA (621 nucleotides) under Epinephelus itajara (Atlantic goliath grouper). RNAcentral's name for it is "partial large subunit ribosomal RNA". It matches the Rfam family "Bacterial large subunit ribosomal RNA", at positions 1793 to 2619 of the family's 2925-position model. The record is from RNAcentral. Lineage: Eukaryota; Metazoa; Chordata; Actinopteri; Perciformes; Serranidae.